This 403-nucleotide ribosomal RNA is filed under the name bacterium. Its description in RNAcentral is "partial 16S ribosomal RNA". It matches the Rfam family "Bacterial small subunit ribosomal RNA", at positions 355 to 776 of the family's 1533-position model. The record is from RNAcentral.
UGGGGAAUAUUGCACAAUGGGGGAAACCCUGAUGCAGCGACGCCGCGUGAACGAAGAAGGUAUUCGUAUCGUAAAGUUCUGUCCUAUGGGAAGAUAAUGACAGUACCAUAGAAGAAAGCUCCGGCUAAAUACGUGCCAGCAGCCGCGGUAAUACGUAUGGAGCGAGCGUUGUCCGGAAUUAUUGGGCGUAAAGGGUACGCAGGCGGUUUAAUAAGUCGAUUGUUAAAGAUCGGGGCUCAACCCCGCAAAGCAUUGGAAACUGAUAAACUUGAGUAGUGGAGAGGAAAGUGGAAUUCCUAGUGUAGUGGUGAAAUACGUAGAUAUUAGGAGGAAUACCAGUAGCGAAGGCGACUUUCUGGACACAAACUGACGCUGAGGUACGAAAGCGUGGGGAGCAAACAGG